GAUGAACGCUAGCUACAGGCCUAACACAUGCAAGUCGAGGGGCAGCAUAAAAUCAGCUUGCUGAUUUGAUGGCGACCGGCGCACGGGUGAGUAACACGUAUCCAACCUGGCCUUUACUCAGGGAUAGCCUUUCGAAAGAAAGAUUAAUACUUGAUAGCAUAAAUUGACCGCAUGGUUGAUUUAUUAAAGAUUUAUUGGUAAAGGAUGGGGAUGCGUUCCAUUAGCUUGUUGGUAAGGUAACGGCUUACCAAGGCAUCGAUGGAUAGGGGUUCUGAGAGGAAGGUCCCCCACACUGGUACUGAGACACGGACCAGACUCCUACGGGAGGCAGCAGUGAGGAAUAUUGGUCAAUGGGCGAGAGCCUGAACCAGCCAAGUAGCGUGAAGGAUGACUGCCCUAUGGGUUGUAAACUUCUUUUGUAUGGGAAUAAAUGACAUUACGUGUAGUGUUUUGUAUGUACCAUUAUGAAUAAGCAUCGGCUAACUCCGUGCCAGCCGCCGCCGUA
Molecule: ribosomal RNA, 505 nt
Filed under: uncultured bacterium
Lineage: Bacteria
Description: bacterial SSU rRNA
Rfam family: Bacterial small subunit ribosomal RNA
Source: RNAcentral